GACGAACGCUGGCGGCGUGCUUAACACAUGCCAGUCGAACGGAAAGGCCCUGCUUUUGUGGGGUGCUCGAGUGGCGAACGGGUGAGUAACACGUGAGUAACCUGCCCUUGACUUUGGGAUAACUUCAGGAAACUGGGGCUAAUACCGGAUAGGAGCUCCUGCUGCAUGGUGGGGGUUGGAAAGUUUCGGCGGUUGGGGAUGGACUCGCGGCUUAUCAGCUUGUUGGUGGGGUAGUGGCUUACCAAGGCUUUGACGGGUAGCCGGCCUGAGGGGGUGACCGGCCACAUGGGGACUGAGGUACGGCCCAGACUCCUACGGGAGGCAGCGGUGGGGAAUAUUGCACAAUGGGCGGAAGCCUGAUGAAGCAACGCCGCGUGCGGGAUGACGGCCUUCGGGUGGUAAACCGCUUUCGCCUGUGACGAAGCGUGAGUGACGGUAAUGGGUAAAGAAGCACCGGCUAACUACGUG
This 468-nucleotide ribosomal RNA is filed under the name uncultured bacterium. RNAcentral's name for it is "partial 16S ribosomal RNA". It matches the Rfam family "Bacterial small subunit ribosomal RNA", at positions 28 to 507 of the family's 1533-position model. The record is from RNAcentral.